CCCGCACGUGGGGGAUGAAGGAAGCCAUAGGCAAACAUUUGAUGCGACGAACAGAAACCGGAUACGAGGCCUGUCUCUCUGGGUAAUUGGCCCAUAAACUAAGAUGCCCAAAAGUCAUUCGGAAGAGAGAGGGGUAAAUCCGGCGCAUCAAAAGGAAAGAGUUACUAC
Bacteroidetes bacterium 4484_276 is the source of this 168-nucleotide non-coding RNA. NCBI's taxonomy places the organism in Bacteria, Pseudomonadati, Bacteroidota. The record is from Rfam.